GGCGCCCCUUGGACAAGACUGACGCUCAGGUGCGAAAGCGUGGGGAGCAAACAGGAUUAGAUACCUGGUAGUCACGCUGUAAACGAUGUCGAUUUGGAGGUUGUUCCCUUGAGGAGUGGCUUCCGGAGCUAACGCGUUAAAUCGACCGCUGGGGAGUACGGCCGCAAGGUUAAAACUCAAAUGAAUUGACGGGGGCCCGCACAAGCGGUGGAGCAUGUGGUUUAAUUCGAUGCAACGCGAAGAACCUUACCUACUCUUGACAUCCAGAGAAUUUAGCAGAGAUGCUUUAGUGCCUUCGGGAACUCUGAGACAGGUGCUGCAUGGCUGUCGUCAGCUCGUGUUGUGAAAUGUUGGGUUAAGUCCCGCAACGAGCGCAACCCUUAUCCUUUGUUGCCAGCACAUUAUGGUGGGAACUCAAAGGAGACUGCCGGUGAUAAACCGGAGGAAGGUGGGGAUGACGUCAAGUCAUCAUGGCCCUUACGAGUAGGGCUACACACGUGCUACAAUGGCGUAUACAAAGAGAAGCGACCUCGCGAGAGCAAGCGGAACUCAUAAAGUACGUCGUAGUCCGGAUUGGAGUCUGCAACUCGACUCCAUGAAGUCGGAAUCGCUAGUAAUCGUAGAUCAGAAUGCUACGGUGAAUACGUUCCCGGGCCUUGUACACACCGCCCGUCACACCAUGGGAGUGGGUUGCAAAAGAAGUAGGUAGCUUAACCUUCGGGAGGGCGCUUACCACUUUGUGAUUCAUGACUGGGGUGAAGUCGUAACAAGGUAACCA
RNAcentral lists this ribosomal RNA (778 nucleotides) under uncultured Providencia sp. Its description in RNAcentral is "bacterial SSU rRNA". It matches the Rfam family "Bacterial small subunit ribosomal RNA", at positions 720 to 1502 of the family's 1533-position model. The record is from RNAcentral. Lineage: Bacteria; Pseudomonadati; Pseudomonadota; Gammaproteobacteria; Enterobacterales; Morganellaceae.